This is a long non-coding RNA of Pogoniulus pusillus (Red-fronted tinkerbird), 449 nucleotides long. RefSeq lists it as uncharacterized. Lineage: Eukaryota; Metazoa; Chordata; Aves; Piciformes; Lybiidae. The record is from RefSeq and is a predicted model, not a curated record. The transcript is spliced from 2 exons.
CAGGGAGCAGCAAGUACUUGGGAGGCAGCAUGCAGGGGACAGCAGCAGAGGAGAGAGGAAGGCAGAGAAGACAUCUGGACUGUGCUGGUUUUCCUGCACGCACAAGAACUGAAGACAAGCAGCAGGCAUCAGCAGAGCAGCAGAGGUGUGCUGAGGCACUUCUGUCCUAAUCCUGCUCCUGCUGCCCUCCUCAGAGCCCUUCCAUGCCUGAGUGACUCAGGAAGAUGUGCACAGGGUGGGAGGACUGGGAAGAAAAGCAAAGAGGGAAGCCCAGAGACAGCAGAAGAGGACUGCUCCAUACCAGUGCCUGCCUGUCCAUCUUCUCCCUCUCGAACACCUCGCAGUACUCAGACAGCUCCAGCUGCUUCAGCACUUCUUUGACUUCCUCCACACCUCUGCUGCCUGAGCUUGUCCUGGAGCCCUGUGAACAAAACCAUCAGGGAUCCUGC